CACGGAUUAUUGAAACUCAUAAAGUAGAUGAGUCAUUGUGAUAUAUGGAGUAAUAAUUCGUGUCAAGAAGAUGGUUGAUAAUUAGUAAAGAAGGGGGAGGUGUGGAAGUGUGGCCAUGGGGGUCGACAAGCCCCAUGGUUGGUGAUAACAUCAGACUCUUAACGAUGAGGCCAUCAGGAAUAUAAAGAGUUUAGAGGGAACAAGGAAGGGUGAUUGAGGAAACGCCUUGCUGUCUUGGGUUGCUUGUUCUCCAGCCGCUAAGGCAUGGAAGUUUCUGGGUUUGCGGUUGCCGGGCAAAGUUGUUGACCAAUGAAUAGUUAGUGGAAAAGAACUGCUGUGGGGCGAAGGGUGUAAGAGGGGAGCCUGUCCUCAAGAU
Molecule: long non-coding RNA, 376 nt
Organism: Oxyura jamaicensis (ruddy duck)
Lineage: Eukaryota; Metazoa; Chordata; Aves; Anseriformes; Anatidae
Exons: 4
Source: RefSeq, a predicted model, not a curated record